AACGAACGCUGGCGGCGUGCCUAACACAUGCAAGUCGCGCGAGAAAAGGGGGGCAACUCCCUGAGUAAAGCGGCGCACGGGUGAGUAACGCGUAGGUGACCUACCCUUGAGUCCAGGAUAACCUACCGAAAGGUGGGCUAAUACCGGAUAUGACCACGGGGACUUCGGUCCCUGAGGUGAAAGGUGGCCUCUGUUUACAUGCUACCGCUCAUCGAUGGGCCUGCGCGCCAUUAGCUAGGGUGGGGUAAUGCCCACCAAGGCGAUGAUGGCUAGCUGGUCUGAGAGGAUGGCCAGCCACACUGGGACUGAGACACGGCCCAGACUCCUACGGGAGGCAGCAGUGGGGGAUAUUGCGCAA
Molecule: ribosomal RNA, 358 nt
Filed under: uncultured bacterium
Lineage: Bacteria
Description: bacterial SSU rRNA
Rfam family: Bacterial small subunit ribosomal RNA
Source: RNAcentral